UACGUAGGGCGCAAGCGUUGUCCGGAAUUAUUGGGCGUAAAGAGCUCGUAGGCGGUCUGUUGCGUCCGCCGUGAAAACCCGAGGCUUAACCUCGGGCCUGCGGUGGAUACGGGCGGACUAGAGGUAGGUAGGGGAGAAUGGAAUUCCCGGUGUAGCGGUGAAAUGCGCAGAUAUCGGGAGGAACACCGGUGGCGAAGGCGGUUCUCUGGGCCUUACCUGACGCUGAGGAGCGAAAGCGUGGGGAGCGAACAGG
This 253-nucleotide ribosomal RNA is filed under the name uncultured bacterium. RNAcentral's name for it is "partial 16S ribosomal RNA". It matches the Rfam family "Bacterial small subunit ribosomal RNA", at positions 524 to 776 of the family's 1533-position model. The record is from RNAcentral.